This 437-nucleotide ribosomal RNA is filed under the name uncultured Candidatus Brocadia sp. Its description in RNAcentral is "bacterial SSU rRNA". It matches the Rfam family "Bacterial small subunit ribosomal RNA", at positions 383 to 810 of the family's 1533-position model. The record is from RNAcentral. Lineage: Bacteria; Pseudomonadati; Planctomycetota; Candidatus Brocadiia; Candidatus Brocadiales; Candidatus Brocadiaceae.
GUGACGAAGCGACGCCGCGUGCGGGAAGAAGGCCUUCGGGUUGUAAACCGCUGUCGGGAGUUAGGAAGUGCAAGGAUGUUAAUAGCGUUCUUGCUUGACUAAGGCUCCGGAGGAAGCCACGGCUAACUCUGUGCCAGCAGCCGCGGUAAUACAGAGGCGGCAAGCGUUGUUCGGAAUUAUUGGGCGUAAAGAGCACGUAGGCGGCUGUGUAAGUCGGUUGUGAAAGCCUUCCGCUUAACGGAAGAACGGCAUCCGAUACUGCAUAGCUUGAGUGCGGGAGGGGAGAGUGGAACUUUUGGUGGAGCGGUGAAAUGCGUAGAUAUCAGAAGGAACACCGGCGGCGAAGGCGACUCUCUGGUCCGUAACUGACGCUGAGUGUGCGAAAGCUAGGGGAGCAAACGGGAUUAGAUACCCCGGUAGUCCUAGCCGUAAACGAU